GAACGGGGUAACAGACAAGUGGUUUACCCUUUUAGCCUCCACUGAAGCAAACAGAGAGGAGAUAAAACCCCAGGCAGGCAGAAUGGAGCAAGCUGGCGAUAACGCGGCUUUGCACCCACAGGAGAGAGCACGAGUUGAGCAGAAGUGACUUCAUUACCUUUUUGUGCUGCGCUCAAAUCUGGGUAAAAGCAAAGCCCUGAGAGCACGGAGGGGCGAGGUCUGGAGGCAGCGGGGCCGCACACAGGUAGAGUCACUCAGGGGGAACCGUGUGCAGGCUCAGGGUGGGAGCGUUUAGUGGGAUGGGGGGGUGAACAAGAGGCACCCAAAAUACGUAAACAGAUGGCGAUUUACCAGCCGGGAAGAGCUUUAGCAUGGCUCACGUUUCUGUAUUAACAUAAGCAAAUUGAUUCCCAACUAUUGAUGAUUUAAUCGUUUCCUUGUCCACACAAUGUAUAUAUUCACACCUGCCAAACCCUUCAGGUCUCUUUGCUUUGGCCACAAAACGAUGGAAGGCUCUGAAAGCCCAACGGGCUGUUCCCCCAGCCCUUCCCCCUUUGCCUGGAUGUUCACGAGGAAGGAACUCUUUGUGUGGCUGAAAACCUGACACUCCUCUGGCUCCUGCCAAGGCUGCCAGGAGAGCAAGAAGAGCCAAUGCUGCUGGGGCUCAGCACGGUGCCGAAAAGCGCACCAGCCCCCCAGGAGAGCAGCGCAGCUCCCUCGGGGAUGAGCAUCCCUCCUGGAAGGGGCUCUCCCUUCGUGCUGUGGGAGAAAUAAAUGCACAAACUGAGAGCAUUUGAGCGUGCUGGUGUAGAGGGUGAUAUGUACCCUGCCGGCCUCUCGGCAUCCUCAUCUGCAUUUCACGGGCUCCGUUCAGGUGCUGAUUGGCUGCACUGCUGGUUAUCUGGCACUGCCUGCCUGCACCGAGGGCUGGAAGGUCUCUGGGCUGUGGGAAUAGUUGGGAAGGGACACGCGGAUGGGUUUUGUACCAACCUGGGUGAGGAGGAGACACAGACUCCGAGAACUGGAUGCUGCUGCUGCCCCACGAGACCUGGCCAAAGAGAAGCGAAGAGGAGGGUUUGUGGAUGCUGCAACACAGAGGCAUUUUUCUGCGUGCUGAGGUGUCCUAAUACCCAGCUCCAUCUGGUGCUACUGUUGAAUCCAUUUAAAUUCCUGUCAUAUUUGCCGCUCUUAGGACCUGAAAAUAGAUGUGGGAACCACUUCAUCUGGCAGAUGAAGAGCAGGAAUAAAACAAUGCAAAUAUGUGGGUGGUUAUUCAGAGGGCUAAAUAAAACACAAAUAAAAUGACUGCUUUCAUGAA
Molecule: long non-coding RNA, 1318 nt
Organism: Oxyura jamaicensis (ruddy duck)
Lineage: Eukaryota; Metazoa; Chordata; Aves; Anseriformes; Anatidae
Exons: 2
Source: RefSeq, a predicted model, not a curated record